Molecule: ribosomal RNA, 502 nt
Filed under: uncultured bacterium
Lineage: Bacteria
Description: bacterial SSU rRNA
Rfam family: Bacterial small subunit ribosomal RNA
Source: RNAcentral
GAUGAACGCUAGCGGCAGGCUUAAUACAUGCAAGUCGUGGGGCAGCAUGGGGUAGCAAUACUCUGAUGGCGACCGGCAAACGGGUGCGGAACACGUACGCAACCUUCCCAAAACUGGUGAAUAGCCCUCCGAAAGGAGGAUUAAUACACCGUAACAUAACGAAGUGGCAUCACUUUGUUAUUAUAGCUCCGGCGGUUUUGGAUGGGCGUGCGCCUGAUUAGGUAGUUGGCGGGGUAACGGCCCACCAAGCCUACGAUCAGUAACUGGUGUGAGAGCACGACCAGUCACACGGGCACUGAGACACGGGCCCGACUCCUACGGGAGGCAGCAGUAAGGAAUAUUGGUCAAUGGACGCAAGUCUGAACCAGCCAUGCCGCGUGAAGGAUGAAGGUCCUCUGGAUUGUAAACUUCUUUUAUCUGGGACGAAAAAGGGCUUUCUAGCUCACUUGACGGUACCAGAGGAAUAAGCACCGGCUAACUCCGUGCCAGCAGCCGCGGUAAA